Molecule: RNA transcript, 2468 nt
Organism: Eucalyptus grandis
Lineage: Eukaryota; Viridiplantae; Streptophyta; Magnoliopsida; Myrtales; Myrtaceae
Exons: 8
Source: RefSeq, a predicted model, not a curated record
AUGUCAUUUUUCUGAAAAUCGUCUUUUGAAAAUCAUAAAUGUGAAAUUUUUCGUCUUUGUAGAAGUACGCUUCCAUUAUUAUAGAAAAUAAUAUAUAUGUGACGGUCGCUUGCUUAAAAUAAACAAUUACUUUUUUUAUUAACCCUAGUUAGUUAACUCUAAUUCCCAAACGGAUUCUGUAAUUGUUUCCUUCUCUUUGUUCAUUUUCUCUGAUUUUCCCGUUGUUUGGAAGCUCCUUACUUUUCUCCGCCAUAGCCAAACUUCCAACUCCAUCGAUAAGAUGCCAGUGAGCUCUCACGCAUUGAAGAUCGCCACCUGCCAACGGAGUCGACGGACAGAAGAAGAAGCUCGUCUUCCGGAAACGGAGUCCCUACCGAACCGACGGCUGACGGAGACCGGCCAUGGAAACUGGUGACGUAGCUUGAGGUGAAAGAUUCUCUCCUGAGGUUUUGGGCUUCCUGCAGCUUGCUAUAGAGAAUGUGUCGUUGAAUCUGUUUGAGAGAGGCUGAAUCAGUGUUUCUUCGCAAGUUUUGUCUGUGGAUGCUUGAUGGUGAAUUCAUAGGUUAUCGACAUUACAGGCUGCAAAUACCACGACAAUCUCUGGAAGGUGCCUUGGCUUUUAAGAAGGAAAAUGAUCAAGAAGCUAAAACUCCUAGAUGCUUCUUGAAUGUUUGAGUGAAACCUGAUUAAUGAAAGGCAAAGCUUGCUCUGCACAGCCUGUUCCAGUCAUGUAAGAAACUGGUUUUCAGUAACCAGCUUGAUUGAAUAGCUGUGCGAUUGUUGAGGAUGCAAACGUUAUUGCAGCAGGAAGAAACUGGUGUAAUGAGACCCGAAAUGUAUGUUUAUCAUUGCUUCUCUAGCCCCUUCUAUAAAUUUUGGCCAAUGGCACUUUGUUGUUGUUCUGAAUUGAUACCCUUGAGAGUCUGUUCAUAGUUUAUUGUUGAUAUUUUAUGUUCCUCCCUUAAUUAUUUCUUUAUGAUAAAAUAAUAUAUAUGCACAAAUCGGUUAAUAAUUGGGAUAUCCAUGCAUUAUAAUGAUGUAAAGGGUUUGUUCUCAUUAUUCUUUCAUAAAAUGUGGUUGUGGCUGACAACAAUCGUAAUCUUGCUUUAUUAUUCCAAUGUUUGACGUUUUUCAUUUGCCACUAUGCUCUGUCUAGAACCAUAUUGCAGUCUUUAUCUACUUUGGUGAAGUUCCUAAUGGUGUUUUCUUAGGCUGUGUCAUAGCUGGAUUUAUGAUAUACUUUUUUGGCAUGAAAAUGCAUUGUCAGUAUUGUACUGCCUUUAAUGCUGUAAGAACCUGCUCCUUGGCCACAUUCCUUCAUACAAUGACCAAAUUUACACAAAUAGUUUGAGCCUGGUUUCUAGAAGACAUCUCUUAUCUAAUAGUCUGUUGCUGUCAUUCAUAGUUAUGUGGUGACAAUACACAACUAUAAAUGAUUUUGUGGACAGAAAUGGAUAGUUGAUGCCAAAAUAUUUGCCCUGUAGUAUCUUUUUGGAGAAUGAUUCAAAACCAAAGGCACCUUGCUUCAGGGAUAUAUAUAACAAAAUACUGUUAGAAAAGGUGGAGUGAGACUCUUGGCAACUUCAAGUGAGCAUCUUGUUGACUUUAGACAUGCAGAGAUGGAAGCUCUUGAUGUUCCUCUUGAACAGUGGCAGAGGACUGGAUUUUUGGCUACGGAAGUUAUAGAGAAGCUUUCAGCAUUCUGCUUCAUGUGACAUAUGAACCAUAAUUUGUGAGCAUUGUCGAUCAUGGGCAUAAAUGAAGUAUAUAACGGCUGUGCAAAUGAUAAACUUGGACGCGGUUGCUCAAUACUUUCUUUGCAUUCAAGUAGCUCCAAGGCAUGACUAGGCUGAGCUAGGGAAAAUGGUGAAUCAUUGAAAUUAUUGGCUGGUUUGUACAAGAAUUUCAUCUAUGUUCCCCCUUUCAUGUGAGGCUGAUAGGUACAGAGAAAAGGAUGCUGGUGCUUCUACCGUCCAGAGUGACGGUUCACGAUGGCCAAAAGUGAUGACAGACACACCAGUGCCAUGAGACUGAUGAGACUUUGCCAUUACUUACGACAAAAGGACAAUUAAGUAUAACCUCCGUGCCUCUUCGAGCAAUGUUCAGAGAUCAACUGAAUUCGAAGUUUCCCAUUUCGUACUCUUGUGCAUCUUAGCCUUGAUUGCCAUCUUCUCCAAAGUAUGGGAAUUACGAGCUAGAAACUUAAAUAGAAAAAGCUACUGUUUCAGCUCCGAAGGUCAAUUGGAAUACAAACUCUAUUCUGCAAAAAAGAGAUUUUUUCAAUGAAAUAGACUCUGACUUCUAACCACCUGAACUCAUCUAAUCUGUUAUAGCACGAGAUUUUUCUUCCCAGUUGUAAAGUAUCAAAGGCGGCAGUUACUUGCAAAUUCUUCUUUGAUUUCAUUCGUGUCGACAUCACAAACUUAGUCACCUGGAGCAAUGUAAAUUAUUAUUCUUUCAUGUCGUCA